RNAcentral lists this ribosomal RNA (253 nucleotides) under uncultured bacterium. RNAcentral describes it as "partial 16S ribosomal RNA". It matches the Rfam family "Bacterial small subunit ribosomal RNA", at positions 524 to 776 of the family's 1533-position model. The record is from RNAcentral.
CACGUAGGGCGCAAGCGUUGUCCGGAAUUAUUGGGCGUAAAGAGCUCGUAGGCGGUCUGUUACGUCUGCUGUGAAAACCCGGGGCUUAACCCUGGGCUUGCAGUGGAUACGGGCAGACUAGAGGCAGGUAGGGGAGAAUGGAAUUCCCGGUGUAGCGGUGAAAUGCGCAGAUAUCGGGAGGAACACCGGUGGCGAAGGCGGCAUCCUGGACCGACACUGACACUGAGGAGCGAAAGCCAGGGGAGCAAACGGG